RNAcentral lists this ribosomal RNA (163 nucleotides) under Lespedeza buergeri. RNAcentral's name for it is "5.8S ribosomal RNA". It matches the Rfam family "5.8S ribosomal RNA". Rfam says of the family: 5.8S ribosomal RNA (5.8S rRNA) is a component of the large subunit of the eukaryotic ribosome. It is transcribed by RNA polymerase I as part of the 45S precursor that also contains 18S and 28S rRNA. Functionally, it is thought that 5.8S rRNA may be involved in ribosome translocation. Lineage: Eukaryota; Viridiplantae; Streptophyta; Magnoliopsida; Fabales; Fabaceae. The record is from RNAcentral.
GAACGACUCUCGGCAACGGAUAUCUCGGCUCUUGCAUCGAUGAAGAACGUAGCGAAAUGCGAUACUUGGUGUGAAUUGCAGAAUCCCGUGAACCACCGAGUCUUUGAACGCAAGUUGCGCCCGAAGCCAUUAGGCCGAGGGCACGCCUGCCUGGGUGUCACAC